UGUUUUACAAAAACAUAACUCAAUGAAUAUUAAUAAUGAGCAAUUUCUGCUCAAUGAGCAAUUAAAUAGCCGCAGUAUAUUAACUGUGCUAAGGUAGCAUAAUAAUUAGUUUUUUAAUUAAAAACUAGAAUGAAUGAAAAAAUGAAGGUUUAACUUUUUUUGUUUAAAAGAUAAAAAUUAAACUUUAAGUUAAAAAGCUUAAAUAAAUAAAAAAGACAAAAAGACCCUUUAGAACUUUAUAAAAAGCAAAUUAUAACAAAAACGCCUUUUAUUUGGUUGGGGAGACAAUAAAACACAAACAACUUAUAUUAAAACCCAACACCAAUUAGUGAAAAUAAAAUAACCUACAAUAAGAAAAAAGAACAAGUUACCUAAGGGAUAACAGCGCACAACUUUUCAAAAGAUCAUAUUAACAAAAUGUAAUGCGACCUCGAUGUUGGAUUAGGAACAAUGCAAACAGAAAAAUGAUUGAAAUUGAGUCUGUUCGACUCUUAAACUCCU
RNAcentral lists this ribosomal RNA (501 nucleotides) under Trialeurodes vaporariorum (greenhouse whitefly). RNAcentral describes it as "partial large subunit ribosomal RNA". It matches the Rfam family "Archaeal large subunit ribosomal RNA", at positions 1893 to 2666 of the family's 2987-position model. The record is from RNAcentral. Lineage: Eukaryota; Metazoa; Arthropoda; Insecta; Hemiptera; Aleyrodidae.